CUCUGAUCCAGACCUACAGGGAGCGUGAAAUGCGGACGAGACCGCGAGGGCUCCGUGCCAAAGAAGAGUGUCGAACAUCGCGCCGAUGUUUUUAGGUCAUGAUGUCUUCAUCGGUGUUCAGAGGAGGCCAGCUGGGCCACACAGCAGCAGCCUGAUGACUCCGAGUGAGCCGCGGCCUUGGGUCUGGACAUCUUCUUGCCAUGCAGUGCCAUUGGCUAAGAGCCCCUCGUUGGCAAGGCAUCGAGAAUCCAUCUCCUUAAGGCCUGGCGCUGGCACGGUAUUAGGCUAAGAAAUAGAAAUGAACCACCACCACCAAAAACAAAUAAACUAUAUGGACUGACACUCAAGAGUCCUGGGGUAUGGGCUGAAGAUAAUCCACCUGGGCUGGCUAUAAAUCCAACACCAGCGAUUGUAAAACUAAAACCAAGGGCACCCCCUGCCCUGAAAAGCCAUCCAAGACAUUCAAGGACAUUUAAAGUGUCUUUUAAAACAUAAAAUCUUG
This 502-nucleotide long non-coding RNA is filed under the name Heterocephalus glaber (naked mole-rat). Its description in RNAcentral is "lncRNA (ENSHGLG00000025216.2)". The record is from RNAcentral. Lineage: Eukaryota; Metazoa; Chordata; Mammalia; Rodentia; Bathyergidae.